ACUGUGAGAAUAUGUUAAUAAAUGGACUGUGCACAUCAACCACAUUUGCUUUAUUAAGGUAAACGUUUGUUCCCACUAUCGAGGCUAUACUCAAACGCGUCCAACCACAAGAUCAUCGGAAAGUAUAUUGCAGUUUGGUCCGACCAGAUCUCGACUAAACUGUAUGAACAAUUAGUGUAUAAUGGAUAGCUUUCCUUAGCGAC
This is a non-coding RNA of Paramuricea clavata, 203 nucleotides long. Lineage: Eukaryota; Metazoa; Cnidaria; Anthozoa; Malacalcyonacea; Plexauridae. The record is from the annotation of a GenBank genome assembly.